UGCCCAAAGAUGGGAAUCAAACCCACAGUGUUCCGCUUACCGGGCAGAUGCCAUGUCCACUAGGCUACCCUGGAC
This 75-nucleotide transfer RNA is filed under the name Cordylochernes scorpioides. Its description in RNAcentral is "tRNA-Thr". Lineage: Eukaryota; Metazoa; Arthropoda; Arachnida; Pseudoscorpiones; Chernetidae. The record is from RNAcentral.